Molecule: long non-coding RNA, 1878 nt
Filed under: Canis lupus familiaris (dog)
Lineage: Eukaryota; Metazoa; Chordata; Mammalia; Carnivora; Canidae
Description: lncRNA (ENSCAFG00845000824.1)
Source: RNAcentral
GGGAUCCCUGGGUGGCGCAGCGGUUUGGCGCCUGCCUUUGGCCCAGGGCGUGAUCCUGGAGACCUGGGAUCAAAUCCCACGUCGGGCUCCCGGUGCAUGGAGCCUGCUUCUCCCUCUGCCUGUGUCUCUGCCUCUCUCUCUCUCUUUGUGUAACUAUCAUAAAUAAAUUUUAAAAAUUAAAAAAAAAAAGAAUUUUUGUUUCCUUAUUGGAAAAAAUAUUAUGGCCACCUAUCUUUGAUGGUUUCCAUUUAAUCAAAAUGCUUUAAAGCAUCUCCCAGGCAAGAAAUAUCUGUACUUUAAAGCACUAAGGGCAGACAAAUGCAAUUGCUUCCAGAAAAAUCAUAGAGAUCAUCUUCCUAAUGGAUAAACUUCUGACAACUGAAAAGAAAGGACUUCGGUCUUUGACUUUUUCUGUCAAACAGAAAACCAACAAAAAGGGACAUUUGUUAGCAUAAACUUUUCAAAGACCCCACUUUUAGUUUAUACCUCAGAGAUACUCAUCCUUCUUCUGCCUUCUCCCUCAGAUUCAUAUGGUUUUAUUAAAUCUGACUGUGGAGAUGCUUCUACGUUAGGUCAGUUUGGCUGUGGACUGAAUUUUGAAAGCACAUUUUAAUUUCAGCAUUUAUGCAGCCGAGCGCUGCUAAAUUGAAUAGGCUGUGGUUAUGGGAACUGCAGGAACUGAAAUGGAACCAAGAAAUCUGUUACUGGAGAAACCUUUUGAGAACAGACAGAUUUUAAGUCACUCUUAAUAAGGUCUGAUAGGUUAUGGAAUAACAUGUUCUGGGAUUCCGGAAAGCAGCUUUUCACCCUUCCUUGCCAUUUGGGAAUUAUUUUCAUCCUCAUGAUGCUGCAAACCUAUCAAGAAAACGGAAUUGAAACGGGUCUCCGUGAGCUGUGUAGCAUAAAUCCAAAACUUCUGCAACAAUAAAAUUCUCUUGCCAAGUGGAUAGGUAGGGCUGUGUUGCUAGCAUGCUGCUCUAAGAGCAUCAAGUAUCAUUCUAUUUGCAGAGAACAAAGAAUAAUCCUUUAGGCUUCUGUAUGGUCUGCUUUGAAAAAAAAAAGAUGGUUGAGAAAUUUUAGCUCUGAACUCUUCUUGAUCGAUGUUGAACCUUAAUGUAGUAGAAAGUUAAUUAUUUCCUGAAUUCUUCCAUGGAUGAUGAGUUCUAGGAGAAGAUAGUAGUUAUUAUGUAGAAGAAAAAAACACUUCAGGAUCAAAUAAGCCUUGAGAACCCUGCAGUAAACUAAGUUCUGUAAUUUGUUGUUGUUGUUUGUUUUUUAUUGCAGAGCUCCUGUGAGCCUCGAGUUGUGAAUUUCCAGGAAGAGAAUAGAGAUAUAAGAUCUAAAAUGUUUAGUGUUCUUUCUUUGCAAGAAAUCUUUUCAGGGACAGGCAAAGCUGCAUUAAGACUGUUGUGGUCGCCUCCUUCAAAAACAAAUAUUAAAGAUUAUAACUGUGCUAGUAUAAGGAUGAAUAUAUUAAUAUUAUAUAACAAAGCUGCCUAAAAGUUUUUCUGGCCUAAAAGUCAGGGGGGUUUUUUUGCUUCUGAUUUUAAAAGAAAUUAAGGGAUCCCUGGGUGGCGCAGCGGUUUGGCGCCUGCCUUUGGCCCAGGGCGCGAUCCUGGAGACCCGGGAUCGAAUCCCACGUCGGGCUCCCGGUGCAUGGAGCCUGCUUCUCCCUCUGCCUAUGUCUCUGCCUCUCUCUCUCUCUCUCUCUCUGUGUGACUAUCAUAAAUAAAUAAAAAAAAUAAAAAUAAAAAUAAAAUGUUAGAUAUUCAUCUGAAAAAUUGGGGGUAUUGUAUAUCAAACUAUAAUAGUGAUAGUCUCUCCAUCAUAAAUACCUAUAAUACUUGAACCUUUUAUAUUAAGCAUUUAUUCUUGUAU